UNCACGAGGCUUGGCUUCUCUUCAGUAGC
This 29-nucleotide non-coding RNA is filed under the name Rattus norvegicus (Norway rat). Lineage: Eukaryota; Metazoa; Chordata; Mammalia; Rodentia; Muridae. The record is from RNAcentral.